Molecule: transfer RNA, 81 nt
Filed under: Groenewaldozyma salmanticensis
Lineage: Eukaryota; Fungi; Ascomycota; Dipodascomycetes; Dipodascales; Trichomonascaceae
Description: tRNA-Ser
Rfam family: tRNA
About the family: Transfer RNA (tRNA) molecules are approximately 80 nucleotides in length. Their secondary structure includes four short double-helical elements and three loops (D, anti-codon, and T loops).
Source: RNAcentral
GGAUAUAUAACCAUAGGCAAGGUAGACUAUUUGCUAAAUAGUUAGAUAUUUUCUUUAAGAGUUCGAAUCUCUUUAUAUCCG